GACGAACGCUGGCGGCGUGCUUAACACAUGCCAGUCGAACGGAAAGGCCCUGCUUUUGUGGGGUGCUCGAGUGGCGAACGGGUGAGUAACACGUGAGUAACCUGCCCUUGACUUUGGGAUAACUUCAGGAAACUGGGGCUAAUACCGGAUAGGCGCUCCUGCUGCAUGGUGGGGGUUGGAAAGUUUCGGCGGUUGGGGAUGGACUCGCGGCUUAUCAGCUUGUUGGUGGGGUAGUGGCUUACCAAGGCUUUGACGGGUAGCCGGCCUGCGAGGGUGACCGGCCACAUUGGGACUGGGAUACAGCCCAGAGGCCUACGGGUGGCAGCAGUGGUGAAUAGUUCACAAUGGGCGGAAGCCUGAUGCAGCAACGCCGCGUGCGGGAUGACGGCCUUCGGGUUGUAAACCGCUUUCGCCUGUGACGAAGCGUGAGUGACGGUAAUGGGUAAAGAAGCACCGGCUAACUACGUG
RNAcentral lists this ribosomal RNA (468 nucleotides) under uncultured bacterium. RNAcentral's name for it is "partial 16S ribosomal RNA". It matches the Rfam family "Bacterial small subunit ribosomal RNA", at positions 28 to 507 of the family's 1533-position model. The record is from RNAcentral.